GGGGAGGAGCGGCCCCUGCUGGGAGUUGGCCAUGCAGCUCCGGGCCGACGGAGCAGAACGCAACGGGCACCCGUGAGUGCCCCCAAGAAGCUGGAUCUUGGGAGAAAAGGGAAGAAAAAAAUGGAAGGGAAUCCCCGCCCAAAUCGAGGGAAGUAACCUCCGGUGUGAGUUACGUCUGGAGCAGCCCAGCUCCGGGCCAGAGCCGACGCGGUCCGCAGGUGCUCCUGGAGGCUGGGGAGAAAGGGGUCCUGGAGAGGGAGGAAGGCGCGGCUUCGGAUGGAACCCCUGGGGCGGAAUGGACAGCACCCACGGGGAAGUGGUACAAGCCGGAGUUCAGACCUCCGCUUAGGGAAGAAGCGGCUACGUGUCCUCCCAGCCGCGAUGCUGUCUGCGGGAAACGCAAGACCCGGGGUCUGGACCGCGCCCCCUUAGACCGAGGUGGGGAGGGGUCCAGGAGCCGAGCGCCAGGGCAAAGCGAGGACGCACUGACACCUGCUGGCCGCUCGUGGUCACGGCUGAGAAGCGACCCGCUGACGCCAGGCGCCUCCUCCCGUCUCUUAGGUCUUCUGCCAACAGAGCCUUCUCCUAUCUCCGAACAAAUUGGUUUCUAAGCUCAGGAAAGGAGAACCCAGAGUUUGAAUUGCACCCUGCCGUGUUGCAGAAAUCUUCCUAAAGCAGAUACUCGUGUGUCUACCCCUGGCGGGAGUGGGGGUUUGUCUAAUAAAGUCACAUCAGGAAGGGCUCAGCAGGCACCGCCGGCCAGAACGGGCAUCCCACUCUGGACCCGCACAGCCCACCCUUCCUGCAGAUCCGAGAGAGGCCAGGAUCCUGCCUCCUUGGUUGCACAGCUCUGGCUUGCUGGGAAUCAUUAUGUUUUUGUUGAGGACCGAAAGCUAGACUCCACUCCCGCCCCGCAUCCCACCCCCAUUCAGAUGUACACACAGCAUCCUUCAAUAAGGGGAAGAGGGAGUAGAAUAUUUUCCAUGUUCUCUCUGAUAAGAAUAGCGGUGGGGGCGGGGGGGAGUGGGUGUGCGGCGAAUGGCAAGUUUUUCCGUGCGUGCUAGCUGUCCUAGGAUAGAUUUUAACGGUCACUAGAGCACUAGCUUGCACCCUGCUAGCUGCACUUUUCAGAUGAGAGCAAGCAGUUUAAUGGUAAAACCCAAGAGGGUAGGAAAUUUCAGCAGGAGAGAGAUUAGACUUAAAGGAAUGUCGUCUUAUUUAAGGAACCACUAAACCAAAAUGCCUUGUGCAGUCACCUAAGUUGGAAUUCCAAGGAUGGAACAGGCUGCCUCUCUGUGCAGCCAGCUGCAGGCUUAGGUCUGGCUGGGGGCUGAUGGCUAAAUUAAGGGCCCUGAGAAUCACCUUCAUUCCCAGCUGAUGUCUAUAGCCCGCACCAGUGAUACAGUUAUUGGUGCUGCUGCUGUUCAUGUAGUCUCAAAAUCUGUACUUUCCAAAGUAUUUCACAGAAGUCUCAUUUGACUUCAGUACCUUUGUCUCCCAAUCUUUGCCCUAAUGGUAUAAACUCCCUUUCCAGUGUUAGUUCUGAGGAGCCUUUCUAAUCUCCCUUUCUGGACAAUCUAAAGGAAGCUGAGAAGACAAUUUCCUCGCUCUGUUGAGUCACUCAUUUUCCAUCUUCUACUAAAGUCUCUGCUCUGAGGCUCUUGGCAGGGGCUUUGGACAUCGCCAGUAGGCUCAGUUGGAAACAUGGCUACAGUCAUUUUUGCACAGCAACUAGGAACCCCACACUUCAAGUAUGAAUACUAAGAGACAAAAAUCAGAGCCCGUGGCAAUCUGGGGUUUGCUGUGUUGCUGUUUGUAGAACUCGGGAACUGAGUCUUAGGAGACCAUCACUUACCAUCUGCACCCCAGCUUCCAACACACUGCUCUUCUUCCUAAUUUCAGAAUCAAAAGAGGAAAUAAAAACAAAGUUUACAGUAAUUAUCUUUCUUGAAAUUUCUGCUGCUAGCCUGUGUAUGACACCUCUUGUCAUAUUUUCUAAAUGCUUCCCAAACAGCCAGGUGGUUUCUUAAUUCCCUGAUUUGGAGUCUUUUCUCCUAAAAUGGGAACAGGUCUUUUCAGAGCCAGGAACCCUGAGGCCAAUACACAACGAAUA
RNAcentral lists this long non-coding RNA (2113 nucleotides) under Homo sapiens (human). Its description in RNAcentral is "HSALNT0168166". The record is from RNAcentral. Lineage: Eukaryota; Metazoa; Chordata; Mammalia; Primates; Hominidae.